Molecule: ribosomal RNA, 492 nt
Filed under: uncultured bacterium
Lineage: Bacteria
Description: partial 16S ribosomal RNA
Rfam family: Bacterial small subunit ribosomal RNA
Source: RNAcentral
AGUGAACGCUGGCGGUAGGCCUAACACAUGCAAGUCGAACGGCAGCACAGUAAGAGCUUGCUCUUACGGGUGGCGAGUGGCGGACGGGUGAGGAAUACAUCGGAAUCUACUUUUUCGUGGGGGAUAACGUAGGGAAACUCAUGCUAAUACCGCAUACGACCUACGGGUGAAAGCAGGGGAUCUUCGGACCUUGCGCGAUUGAAUGAGCCGAUGUCGGAUUAGCUAGUUGGCGGGGUAAAGGCCCACCAAGGCGACGAUCCGUAGCUGGUCUGAGAGGAUGAUCAGCCACACUGGAACUGAGAAAGGGCCCCGACACCUACGGGAGGCAGCAGUGGAGAAUAUUGGAGGAUGGACGAGAGCCGGAUACAGCCAUACCGCGUGAGGGAAGAAGGACUUAGGGUUGUAAAGCCCUUUUGUUGGGAGAGAAGAACAGCAGGUUAAUACCCCACUGUUAUGACGGUACCGAGAGAAUAAGCACCGGCUAACUUCGUG